AAGAAUUGUUCAAACUCGAUAAAAGUACAAGAACUGUCAUGCAUCUCUAUCAUCGAAAUUAAUAGUACUGGCCCACAGGUUGCAACUAAUUCAUGAUCGAAUUAACAUCGUUGAGAUGUACAUCAAUAAUUGCGUUUAAUUUCAAGCAUCUUUAAGUUAAACACAUUCUCAUAAGACAUACCUUGUUCACUGUAAAAGGGCUUCCCACACUUUUUAGAGCUUUGAACAAAUCUUUUGUCAUCUUCUCUUUGGCGAUAUUCGACACAACAACUAAUAGAGCGAGACUCAAGGCUAUAGGACUUUUCGAUCCAGAAUAUCUCAAUCUGCUUGUUUAACGUCAUGUGGCUUCUUGCCACCGAGAAACAAAUGCAGAUCCUUCUGAUACAAGUUACCCUCGAUUUGCAUCUUCAAGAAUGCGAAUUCAAACUAUUCAACUUCUCAAUCUUGACUUCUCCAUCUCUAGCCAUUUUCAAAAACUCUGUUCUCCUAGUUUUUGGGAAGUUGGCCAAGCAUUCGAACAAAUAUGUAACACGUGUAGAACAAUAAAAAAUAGAAAUAGAGAACAAAAGACACGGAUCUCAUUAAUGUCGAAAGAAGCCCCGCAAAGCCUGAUUCAACAAAAGAAUUUAUUGACAUGUGGGUGGGAGUCGAACUCAAAACCAAAAGCUUUUUCUGAAAUCAUGAUUGCCAGGUGACUAAUGGUCAAACAUGAGAUAUGGAGUAUGUGAAAUUGAAUUGUUCAACAUCUAAAACAAGGAAUCCAACCUUAAGAAUGCCAACUCUAUGAUUUCCGGCGAUCUUAAAAACUAUUAGUACCAAGGUGCUGUUCCACUAAAGCAAAAAGUGUUUUUUUGAAAGUUUUGUUCUUAUUAAAAAAAAACCGCAUUCGUUGCUUUUGCGUCAAAUUUAGGUGCCGUUGAGCCUUUGAAAUAAUAUGUGAUUUCAAAAAAAAAAAAAUCUAAAACAACUUGUUUUUUCCUUACUUUUGACUUGAAAUCGAGAGAGUUUGUACUAAAAAAUGGCCUAGAUGUCAGGCAAGUGCUAGACUAGUACUAGGUUUAACAUUAAUUGUAAGACUAAUGACUAUGUAUGUAAUCCUAAUGUGGUACUCACUUUCGUAAUCUUUAAUGAAUUUUCGUUUGAUCCGGGAAAAAAAAAUGGAAUCCGACUACACAUCCCUAAACAGAGGAGUUUCAAACAUUACAAAUAAAGAUACAUUAGAACAACUUCUGGCAUACUAGCUCAAUACAAAACUAUUUUGGAGACCCAGAUUUUGUUGAAACUCUGGUACCCCUUUCCUCCUCAUACAUAGUCAGAAUUUCUUACCCCAUGUUUUUUCCAGAGAGAGAGAGAGAGAGAGAGAGAGAGGUCAAUCAACCUUGAA
Rhododendron vialii is the source of this 1384-nucleotide long non-coding RNA. RefSeq lists it as uncharacterized. Lineage: Eukaryota; Viridiplantae; Streptophyta; Magnoliopsida; Ericales; Ericaceae. The transcript is spliced from 2 exons. The record is from RefSeq and is a predicted model, not a curated record.